UCCCUGGUGGUCCAGUGGUUAAGACUUUGCUUUCCAGUGCAGUGGCUUUGGGUUUAAUCCCUAGUCAGGGAA
Transfer RNA from Ovis aries (sheep), 72 nucleotides. It matches the Rfam family "tRNA". Rfam says of the family: Transfer RNA (tRNA) molecules are approximately 80 nucleotides in length. Their secondary structure includes four short double-helical elements and three loops (D, anti-codon, and T loops). Further hydrogen bonds mediate the characteristic L-shaped molecular structure. tRNAs have two regions of fundamental functional importance: the anti-codon, which is responsible for specific mRNA codon recognition, and the 3' end, to which the tRNAs corresponding amino acid is attached (by aminoacyl-tRNA synthetases). tRNAs cope with the degeneracy of the genetic code in two manners: having more than one tRNA (with a specific anti-codon) for a particular amino acid; and 'wobble' base-pairing, i.e. permitting non-standard base-pairing at the 3rd anti-codon position. NCBI's taxonomy places the organism in Eukaryota, Metazoa, Chordata, Mammalia, Artiodactyla, Bovidae. The record is from Rfam.